Molecule: ribosomal RNA, 433 nt
Filed under: uncultured bacterium
Lineage: Bacteria
Description: partial 16S ribosomal RNA
Rfam family: Bacterial small subunit ribosomal RNA
Source: RNAcentral
AACGAACGCUGGCGGCAGGCCUAACACAUGCAAGUCGAGCGCGCCCUUCGGGGUGAGUGGCGGACGGGUGAGUAACGCGUGGGAACGUGCCCUUUUCUACGGAAUAGCCUCGGGAAACUGAGAGUAAUACCGUAUACGCCCUUCGGGGGAAAGAUUUAUCGGAAAAGGAUCGGCCCGCGUUGGAUUAGGUAGUUGGUGGGGUAAUGGCCUACCAAGCCGACGAUCCAUAGCUGGUUUGAGAGGAUGAUCAGCCACACUGGGACUGAGACACGGCCCAGACUCCUACGGGAGGCAGCAGUGGGGGAUCUUAGACAAUGGGGGCAACCCUGAUCGAGCCAUGCCGCGUGAGUGAUGAAGGCCUUAGGGUUGUAAAGCUCUUUCAGCUGGGAAGAUAAUGACGGUACCAGCAGAAGAAGCCCCGGCUAACUCCGUG